Molecule: long non-coding RNA, 678 nt
Filed under: Brassica rapa (field mustard)
Lineage: Eukaryota; Viridiplantae; Streptophyta; Magnoliopsida; Brassicales; Brassicaceae
Description: long non-coding RNA (BRAP_LNC005722)
Source: RNAcentral
AUAGAUCGGAUUUCUUAGCCACUUUUCCUUUGCCUUCAUUUGUACUUAUGGUUACAACUCGUUUUUAUGAUAUUUCUCUUGUGGUUAUUCUUGUGGAGGUUGAAGGUAGAGGUGGAGAUGAAUAAGUUAGAGUCAACGAAUCAAGACUUUGCAGAAAAAUCCCACCAUCAAAACCAUUUUAUCGACACAGAGAGAGAGAGAGGAAGAAGGUGAUGAAAAAGAAAAAAACAAUUUUAUUAAUAAAAAAGGUAUGGCUGUAAAUAAAAGAAAGAAAGAGAUAUUGUACCUUUGAAAUAUUUUAAACUAAUUAAAUCUCUUUUCACACACCACAAAAGGUGAAUGUCGUUAGGGGUUAGUGCUGUCAUUUUACUUCCACAAACUACCUCAGUAGUUCAAUGUGUCUGAUUGUGUAAUAAAAAGACAGAAAGUGUCUAUUUAUGUUAAUAACUCUAAAAAAAAAGAUCUAUCAAAAAAAAAAAAUUUUGAUUUGUUGGCUAGGUGGUGGAAGAGAAAUCCUGCUGGCUGAGGAGUAAUCCAACAUUGGAGUGGUUAGUAAAAAUUUCAAAAUCAAUUCUCUUAUCUUUCUAUCUUGUGUUUCAUCUCUUGCUUGCUUGGAGAAAUCCAUUGGGUUACUUGAUUUGUUCUCUUAGAACUUUGAGAAAAGACUCUUGAGUGACC